GCCUGUAGCUCAGCCGGAUAGGGCAGUUGCCUUCCCCGCAGCAAAUCGGAGGGUGAGUCCCUCCGGUCAGGCU
RNAcentral lists this transfer RNA (73 nucleotides) under Ramlibacter pinisoli. RNAcentral's name for it is "Ramlibacter sp. MAH-25 tRNA-Gly". Lineage: Bacteria; Pseudomonadati; Pseudomonadota; Betaproteobacteria; Burkholderiales; Comamonadaceae. The record is from RNAcentral.